Pelobates cultripes (western spadefoot toad) is the source of this 219-nucleotide non-coding RNA. The record is from the annotation of a GenBank genome assembly. NCBI's taxonomy places the organism in Eukaryota, Metazoa, Chordata, Amphibia, Anura, Pelobatidae.
CUGACACAGCCUAUUUUCGCUUGUCCAGUUUAAUAUUUUUGUGCAUGUUUCACGAUCCGAAUUUUCCGCCUGUCCUCCAGCCAAUUACAAGUUUUAUAGUCCCUUCCCUACAACAUUUGAGGAACCACAGUAUUGUUUAAAUGCAGCAGCUUACUAUAACAGCAUGCAAGGCAGCUGGUACCUGCGGCCAUCAAGAGUGUGGUUAAGGCAAGGGACCAG